This is a long non-coding RNA of Macaca mulatta (Rhesus monkey), 2929 nucleotides long. The record is from Ensembl. NCBI's taxonomy places the organism in Eukaryota, Metazoa, Chordata, Mammalia, Primates, Cercopithecidae.
GUUGACGGAAAAAAGAGCCAAAUGAAGAUCCUUUAAUUUAUUUUUGUUUUCAUUUAUUUAUUUUUUUAAGAUAGAGUAUCUUUCUGUCACCCAGGCUGGAGUGCAGUGGUGUAAUUUUGACUCACUGCAAUGUCCACCUCCCGGAUUCAAGCAGUUCUCAUGCCUCAGCCUCCUGAGUAGCUGUGAUUACAGGCACCCGCCACCACACCCGGCUAAUUUUUGUAUUUUUAGCAGAGACAAAAUUUCACCAUGUUGGCCAGGCUGGUCUCAAACUCCUGACCUCAGGUGAUCCACCUUCCUCGGCCUCCCAAUGGUCCUUUCCUUUUAAUUGAAAGCGUGGCACAUAAUCAGGGAAAAUUUAAGUAGCACCUAUAAUCCCAGCACUUUGGGAGGCUGACGCAGGCGGAUUGCCUGGGCACAGGAGUUCGUGACCAGCCUGGGCAACAUGGUAAAAUCCCAUCUCUACUAAAAUACAAAAAAUUAGCCGAGCAUGGCAGCGUGCACCUGUAGUCCCAGCUACUCAGGAGGCUGAGGCAGGAAAAUUGCUUGAACUCAGGAGGCAGAGGUUGCAGUGAGCUGAGAUCGCGCCACUACACUCCAGCCUGGGCGACAGAGCGAGGCUUCAUCUCAAAAAAUAAACAAAUAAAUAAAUAUAAAGCCAUAAUAAAUAAAUAAAUCUUCUCUCUCCCUUCCUCAGACUACCAGGUCUCCCUCUCCCAUGAAACCACUGUUGCUAGUUUCCUGUAUAUCCUUCAAGUAACAAUCAAUGUGUGGACAAGAGGAGCAUUCUAUAAAAGUGAGUGAGCAUCAGUUAUGCACCUAGCCUUGUGCUAGACAUUGAGAAAUCAAAUACAGUGAUGAUGGCCCCAGAAGAUCGCAGUGGGGAAGACAGACUAGAAAAGAGGUUUCUCUUCUUAGAUCUUCAUCUCAGAGGCGGCACCACCACCCGCUCUCAGCCAAGCCAGGGAUCCAGAAGCCCUUCCAGGGGCUGUGGCCGUCUCUUCGUCCUGAUGCUGACAGAUAAGUCCCCCGAGAACAUUUUUCACCGCCUCCGUGAAAGCAAUGGAUGAAUCUGCACCAAACUGCGGGAAAGAUGGGCUCCUCUUCGCAUGCGGUGGUUUCCACAAACUGAUAAGCUGACACUCAGGGGUGUUGACUUAAAAAUCAGCAGAUUUUUAUAUUUCACGAUGUGUUUGAGCUUUAUCAAUGUCUGCUCACCCUUUGUUCUUGAGGUUUCAUUACACUCGCCAUCAGUUCUGACAGCCUAAACAGAACAUGAUCCGGACAGUUUAUUCUUUAAAUGAAUGAUCCUUACAUCUUCUGACAUCCUUUUACAUUCUCCCUGAAAUGUGCUCUUCAACAUCUGGCAGAGCCCGUUGUAGCUGCCAGAACUUUCUUAAUUCAAUAAUCAAAACAGGUGCCAACGAAGUAAAUCUAUGACUGUUAAUUUUGCAAGUCCUGCUCUUCCCUCCCACCUACCUAAAUUGUUUGAAAAUGAAUGUCAGCUCCCUGCUCAGCCUAUUAGAGGCUUCAGGAAAAAAGGGGGAGGAGGACCCCCACCACCACAACUGUGAUGCUCAGAGAGAGUAUUUUAAAACUUCUUCUGGAAACGAAGCUUGGUUUUAUUCUUUUUUUUUUUUUUUUUUAGAAUGAACAAAGGUUAGGCAGGGCUCACAGAAGAAGUCCAUUUUUAUUUCCUACAAGACUGUGAUUCUCAGGGCAUGUUGGAAGAUUUCCCUGCAUCAGAAUUACCUGAAAAUCUUUAAAAUUAUAUAAUUCCCAGUCUUGACAUAGAUGCACUGAUUCAAAACUUGGGGUGGGAGAGCAAAAAUGUGCAUUUUUAACCAGCCCCCUGGGUGAUUCUAGACCUUGUAAAGUUGAAGGUCAACUGAUCUAAACAUUUUUACCCAAAAGAAAGAAAGAAACAAAAAUCUAAGAGAGGUCACUUACAAAAGGCAAUUCAAUUUAGUCUCUCCUUCUCUCCCCUUUUAAGGAAUGUAAAACAGUCAAGUGAGUUGCUUUAAAAUUAGGAUUGGGGGCCAUAAAACUUUAUUCGGUAGAGACAAUAAAUCCUGAAAAAUAAAUUCCAGUUUUAUUUUAUGUUCAGUUAGGGAGUGAGUGAAAGAGAAAGGAAGGGAAACAGUGAAGAAGUACAGAAAAAAAGGAGAGAAAAAGAAGAGGGGAAUUAGCUUUCUUGAAUAAUUUUUAUAUAAUAGAAAUUAGAGGCACUGUUGUAAAUAUUUUAUGUAGGUUAUCAAGUUUUAUCCAAGGAAGCAAGAGAAUGAUAAGAAAAAGAGACUAAAAUGAUAAAGAGAGAGACAGAGAUGAGGAAACAUGGAGAUAGAAAGAUAAUAUAUGACAGAUAUAGACAAAGAAAGGGACAGACACAGAGAGAAAAACAAAGUUACAGAGUCAGAAAAAUGCACAGAGAUACCCAGAGGGAUACAGAGAGAAACUGAGAACCGCAGAGACACAGAGAAAAAGUUAAACACUGAAUUCAUUUUCUAGGUCUGCCAUAAUAAAGAUUCACAGACUGGGUGGCUUAAACAACAGAAAUUCAUUCCCUCAUAGUUCUGGAAGCUAGAGGGUGUUGGCAGGGUUGGUUUCUUCUGAAGCCUGUCUCCUUGGUUUGUAAAUAGCCAUAUUCUCCUUGUGUCUCACAUGUUCUUCCCCUUGUAUAUGUCUGUGUCCAAAUCUUCUCCUCAUCAGGAUAUCAGUUAUAUAUUACCCAUGGAGGGUCUUGACUUCAAGUCAUUCAGGUUCUUGGCAUUUUGAACAAAGAAUUGGACAAAACUCACAAACAAAGCAAUGAAAGGACAGAUUUUUUGAAACGAAAGUACACUCUACAGAAUGGGAGCAGGCUUGAGCGAGCAGCGGUUACAGAAUUUUCUGGGGUUUAAAUACCUGCUAGAGGUGUCCCAUUGGUUAC